UUAUAUAGAUAGAUUAGUGUUAUGUAUGACCUAGGAGAGAGGCCCAUCACUAUAAACACGAAUUUGAUCCAACAACUCACAAUACAAACAGGCCCAAUUGAUGCCCUAGAUAUAUAAUAAGAUAACAAAAUUUGAAACUGCGAGACCAAUCUCAAAAACCCUAGAAAAGAAGAUGUUGCGGUUCCUGGGAAACACCACCUUGGCUAAGAAGGUAAUGGAGAGAUGUUUGUAGCAAGGGGAUGCUGCCGUUGCAGUAUCGUGAUUUUUCAUCCGUGAGUGAGAAAGCUGUCUCGAAAAUUUAUGGAUACUUCUUUAAAACGGUCUUUGGUGGUGCUGGAAUCCUGCUCGCUCGUGUGACAACAAGCCCCUUCUCAAGCGGUCUUCAGGAGAUUGAAGACGAUGUUUUUUUUUUUUUUUUUUUUGAAGACAACUUAAUUUCAUUAAAACCUUAACCUGCUUGAUUACAACGAUUAGAGGGAAUUAUACAUCCUCUUUAAUUGAAAGCAUAAACUACAACAAUGUAAAAUAAAUGAGAUAAUUCUUCAACCGAAGAUGACAGCUGAUUCGAAUCAGAAGGCUACCUCGACGAUUGAAUACGAUGUUAAAGAGGUAAAUAACCAAGGGACUGGGUUUAAAGGUCUUUUUCUUUUUCUUUCUUAUCUUUCCUAUAUAAUUCUUCGUCUCUCCAUGUUUCAUUUUUUGUCGAGUUGAUUUCGUCUGUGAAAGAAGAGUUACAAGUGAUGGUAUUUGGCUGUUGGUGUGUGUGUUUUUUUUUUCAUUGUUUCUGUUAUGUCUAUGAACAUGGUUCUGUCUUUAAUCUUUUAAAUAAAUCUCUUUUUUUUUUGUUUUUAGAUAAAGACCCCAACUCACACCUACCACUAUAUAUAAUGUUCUUGUAUGAUGGAUUGCUGAUGUGAGCCUGAUGUCCUGUUCUCGAAUUUAUUCACAACAGUUAAACUUUUUGGAUGAUGUUUGCAUUGCAUUGCAUGGAUCAGUUUCUAUGCAUCUGACAGACUAUAUAAAACCUCGUUCAGAUGUAUGCUUUUGUUGCAGUUGUAGAAUUUAACAGGCUGUGUGUCGUCAGAGGAUUAACAACAAAAAAGUCUAGAUGAAUACCAGAAUAUCUUUGAGAUUCUUAUUUACAGUGUCCUUUGCAUUUUCUUUAGGAGGAGAGUUUGCACACCAUUUUACUCUAAUUACAAACGUGUAAAAGGUUGGACUGUGUCUAACAGUUCAAAAUGAACAAAAGGUUAUCAGAAGAGGAAGAUAAUUUAAAAGCUGGGGAUUAGGAUCUCCUCUUCUUUGUUUUCGUUAUUACACAAAUAAGUAGUAGACAAAACACCAAAUAUGUUUGCUUAUCUAAGAAGAGUUUCUCCUCCUUCUCCUCCUCUUCCCACGAACAGCACAGAGGUAGUAGUAGUAGCCUAGACA
Long non-coding RNA from Brassica napus (rape), 1431 nucleotides. RefSeq lists it as uncharacterized. The transcript is spliced from 3 exons. The record is from RefSeq and is a predicted model, not a curated record. NCBI's taxonomy places the organism in Eukaryota, Viridiplantae, Streptophyta, Magnoliopsida, Brassicales, Brassicaceae.